GACAGAGGGGGCAAGCGUUGCUCGGAAUCACUGGGCGUAAAGGGCGCGUAGGCGGGAUGGCAAGUCAGUCGUGAAAUCUCUCGGCUCAACCGAGAAACGUCGGCUGAUACUGCCGUUCUUGAGGGAUGCAGAGGAGACUGGAAUUCCCGGUGUAGCGGUGAAAUGUGUAGAGAUCGGGAGGAACACCGGUGGCGAAGGCGGGUCUCUGGGCAUCUCCUGACGCUGAGGCGCGAAAGCGUGGGGAGCAAAC
RNAcentral lists this ribosomal RNA (250 nucleotides) under uncultured bacterium. RNAcentral's name for it is "partial 16S ribosomal RNA". It matches the Rfam family "Bacterial small subunit ribosomal RNA", at positions 524 to 773 of the family's 1533-position model. The record is from RNAcentral.